This 486-nucleotide ribosomal RNA is filed under the name uncultured bacterium. Its description in RNAcentral is "partial 16S ribosomal RNA". It matches the Rfam family "Bacterial small subunit ribosomal RNA", at positions 30 to 507 of the family's 1533-position model. The record is from RNAcentral.
AUUGAACGCUGGCGGCAUGCCUUACACAUGCAAGUCGAACGGCAGCACGGGUGCUUGCACCUGGUGGCGAGUGGCGAACGGGUGAGUAAUACAUCGGAACAUGUCCUGUAGUGGGGGAUAGCCCGGCGAAAGCCGGAUUAAUACCGCAUACGAUCUACGGAUGAAAGCGGGGGCCCUUCGGGCCUCGCGCUAUAGGGUUGGCCGAUGGCUGAUUAGCUAGUUGGUGGGGUAAAGGCCUACCAAGGCGACGAUCAGUAGCUGGUCUGAGAGGACGAUCAGCCACACUGGAACUGAGACACGGCCCAGACUCCUACGGGAGGCAGCAGUGGGGAAUUUUGGACAAUGGGCGAAAGCCUGAUCCAGCAAUGCCGCGUGUGUGAAGAAGGCCUUCGGGUUGUAAAGCACUUUUGUCCGGAAAGAAAUCCUUGGCACUAAUACGGUCGGGGGAUGACGGUACCGGAAGAAUAAGCACCGGCUAACUACGUG